AUAAUAAUAAUAAUAAUAAUAAUAAUAAUAAUAAUAAUAAUAAUGUUCGCCUCACACCUCCAGGGUCGGGGGUUCGAUUCCCACCAUGGCCUUGUGUGUGUAGAGUUUGCAUGUUCUCACCGUGCUGCGGGGGUUUCCUCUGGGUACUCCAGUUUCCUCCCCAAGUCCAAAGACAUGCAUGGUAGGCUGACUGGCAUGUCCCAAGUGUCCGUAGUGUAUGAAUGGGUGUGUGAUUGUGUGCCCUGCGAUGGAUUGGCACCCUGUCCAGGGUGUACCCUGCCUUGUACCCGAUGCUCCCUGGGAUAUACUCCAGGUUCCCCGUGACCCUGAAAUGGAUAAGCGGUAUAGAAGAUGGAUGGAUGGAAGUUAUUAUAAAGAUUAUAUCAAACAGAAACUGGAGCUCAAGUAUUACAUUCUCCAUUAUUUGCAGCACAAUGUUUCUUUUCCAAUUGUGGAAGCAUUAUCUAUCCAUCCAUCUAUCUACCUAAGAAUUUCUUAUUCUUAGUAGUUCAUUCAUUCAUUUCUUUCUUUUUACUCCACCAUGCAGUGAAACAAAAGAAAUAGAGCAGUAAAGGAUUCAUGCAUUUCUUCACCAUUUUCAGCAAAGUCUGCUCUACAUGUGCCACAUUGUUCUAAUUGUGCAAGCUUUCUCCCCAAUGUGGGAAAGAAAAGCAAGCAGAAAAGCUGUUUGGUGACUGAAAGUAGAAUAUUACUAUCACUUCUGUAGCUCAAUAAAGUAUACCAAUUAUACCAACUAAUUAAAACAAUUAAAACAUGGAGGGCCUGGUAUCUAAAUUGUCCACAUCAAGACUGGGGCUGGCUUAUUAAAAUAGUCCUCUAAUGAGCUGCAGACAUUCUGAGUGUCUUUUCUCUCCUCUGGCCUUGUCUCCUCUGGACAGAGAAGGAGAAAGAGAGAGAGAGAGAGAAAGAGAGAAAGAGAGAAAGAGAGAGAGAGAGAUUAACCUCACACAUUCUAUCAUAUUUUUACAAUAUUAGUACGGUGAGUGUGUGUGUGUGUGUGUGCGUGUGCGUGUGUGUGUGUGUGUGUGUUCUCUAGUCAGUCACAACGCUUUCCUGGCUAUAACACUGAAAAAUAAAAUGAGAAAAUACAGCUAUGGGCUAGACAUACUAUUACAAUUUUAAUCAAAAUAUCUAUACGAAGAGAUCUUCAUCUAAAAUGAUUCGAGAAGUUCCUAUUACUACCUUCAGAAUGUAUUUUAUAGCCUUCACUUGUAUUCCCUUGUGAAUGAUCAUACAUUACCUUAACCUUACAACUCUUUCUAAUUCCACCCCGUCGUCUGUCUCACACCUUCUCCUCACCAGGGGGAAAGUAGACACUCGAGCCCCGUCCCAGAGAUGAUAAACUGCCACUGAUUCCCUGAUUCCAAUUUGUAAUUUUCCAAGUGUAGAGGUAGGACUCAGACGAUUGAUCAAAUUGAGGAGCAACUUGAGCCACCUUUCUCCCCCCCACUCUCUCUCUCUCUCGUUCUCUUUCGCACACUUGCUCUCUUGCCCAAAGACCCUCUUUAAAUAUUCAGCUAGAUUUAUGAAUGGCCACUGUCUCCCUCAGCUAUUUAUAUCGCCUAUAUUGACAGAAACACAUUCUGGAAAGAGGAAUGAAAUUUUGCUUUCUGUGAGUGCGACUGAGGGGAAGUUUGAUAGAGUGUAAUCUGACACCGGGUGGGGGGUUGAAACACUUAGAUUAAUGCAUUUUGCGGAACAAAAGUAGACAAGGAUUUAUUCAUAUUUUCCCUCCAUUUUUAUGAAAAAUUCAAAUGAAGGUCAAUUUUCAGGAUUACCUGUCUGGCUGUAAAAUGUUUCAGGACAUUUGUCAGGAAUGAAUAAAAAAUUAAAGACAUAGCAGACCAGGAGGAAAAAGAUAGGGGGUGGACAAAUAUAUUUCACAUGGAUGUAAUAAAUAUCCAUGUUAGUGCAGCAUUUGUUUGGAUUUGUGAAAGAGAAAGAGCACUUUUAGUCUUGUUUACUGUAAGGGUCAAAGUUCUUGUUUGCUCUAUCUGCCCCAGUUGGUCUGCGCUUAUACUAACAUCAGAGACCCUCUGAUCUCUGGGGAUGCUGGCAUCACCAUUCGAUCUGAUUAUUUGGGAAGGACAAAGUGCUUGUGUUGAUGAAGAGCCUGCUCGAAAAUCUGGGAGUGCAGAAAUCAAUGCAGAUCCUCUGGCCCCUGGAGCAUUGAUCAUGCCUGCCUCUGCAUUGACAACACAUGCCUUGUUUAUCUAGGUGUACGGGAAGGGCUGAAACAAGCCUUGGGUGAAGUUUUUUUUUUUUAUUAUUAUUCAUCCUUUUCUUUACUUGGCAUCUCUGAGUCCCUAUUUCCCAUCUCUAUAUCAACAGACUGGCAUGAUUAAUAAUACACAUUCAUAAGUUUGAUUGAAGAAAGUUUUCAGCUAGUACACAUACUUGUGGGAUGCGAGAUGGGUGUAGAGAGUGGAGGGGGUCUCACUUAUAAUUCCCUGCUUCUCCUGUGUCUUCAAGAGAAACAAUGUCUAUUCGCAUAGUUUGCAAUGGAAUCAAUCCACCAUGAGAUGGACGAGUUUGCUGAAACGAGGGCCGCUCAUUACCGCAGGAUGUUGUUUGUCCAGAAAGCCUUUUCCUCCCACCUUGUUAGAGAUGUCCAGCCUGCAUAAUUGGAUCCAUCUCCAGCUGCAGACAGAUACUCUCAUAGCGAGAGCUUGCAUAAAUGACAAAUGUUCCACCUAUCUAUGAACGAUGACCAUUUAAAGGAAUGACGCCUCGUUAUUAGGACAGCAGACAAGUUUGAAGGCUCCGGCAAUCUCUUCAGCGGUGAGCAAGGCAUCACUUCACUUAAGGCUGUCGGUGUUGAUUUGGACGCAGAGAGCUUCUUCUGAUUCCUGUUUAGCAAACGUGUUUGCAACAAAUAAGCGUCCACUUUGAGGCUAAUUGCCACUGAAGCAUGCGCAAAAUGUGUCAUUAUGAAACGUUCAGGGCUGGAAAUGUGACUGACUUCACAAAUUCAUCGCUGUCAUUCUCGAGAUGAGAUGAGCACAUUUGAGAUCAUUUGACUGGAGCCUGCCUUAUCAUCCAGACUAAUUGAAGACAGAGCACGAGAGUUUUUAUGGAUGAGCACAGCAUCUGUUUCUAGACAAGGUUCAGCAUAGACAUUCCAUACACAGGUGACUUGCGAAUGUUUAUUGAAACGCAAGGUGAGUUUGAUUAAAUCAGGGAUUUGUUUAGGUCCUCCACAACUACAUCAUGUCAUUCACAAUGUGUGAGUCAUAGUUUCUGGUUGUAAUGUGUUCCAAGCUAGGUCAGUCAUGGUGAAUGUUUCAUAACACAUGAAACCACCUGUCUGUCUAGUCAUGGACCCAAUACUGAAGAAAUCCUGUGCCUAGUCCUGCACCAAAUUACAGCCACAUUAGUAUAUGUAGAACAAUAAAUUCUUCCUUGAUUUGCUAUAAUGCUUAAGUACUGCAGAAUUGUGCACCUCAGUACAAUUACACAGUGCCCCAGAACUGUCUUUAACUGGGGAAAAAAAUGUGGCUUGCACCUGUAAUAGUCGUGUUUACAUCAUCAUCGGAAAUAAUGAAAUAAACCAAAACAAGACCUUUUUUUUUUUUUUUAACCCACAAUGGGCCAGUGAUAUUGUUUGUUUGUUUAUCAUUACAUACUUUAACCUUUUGAGCAAGUAACAUUGGUGAUUGAAAAGUUGCAUAAAGUAAUGCAACACAUUUAAAUCAUUUGUUAUAAUACUUAUAAAAAAAAUAUUUCAUCUCAUUUUGUGGCAAGAUCAAUCAUUUUUACACAACACUUUUUUCAAAGUUGUUUGAAUACUUGACUAAUAUUUCUUGUGCUAUUAUACUAUAUAUUCACUUUUUCACUGUCUAAUACAAACGUGCAUUGUUUCAUCUAUAAAUUAAUCUAAACAUCUGACCUUUUUAAAUCAGUUACAUUAAACAUGCAGCAAUAAUGCACAAACUGUGUUAGUAGUUAACAUUAACAUUAACAGAAUUUGAAAUUUUGUGACAGGACAAUGGAUGAGUUGAUGGUCUAUAGGUUAUUUACAGCACUAAACAUCAAGAGCUUGAAACCGAACUAUCCAAAUAAAGUGAAUGUAAAAAGAUGAGUUGAUUGAUAGUCCACAGUAGGGGAGUCAAAUCAAAUCCGGAAAGGGCCAGUGUGGGUGCAGGUUUUCAUUCCAACCAAGCAGAAGCCACACCUGAGUCUAGUGAAAGCCAAGAUCAACUAAUUAAACAGGUGGAAUCAGGUGUGGCUCCUGCUUGGAUGGAAUGAAAACCUGCACCCACACCGACUCUUUGUAGAUAAGAUUGGACACCCCUGGUCUACAGGUUAUCUACUAAACAUCAACAAACAAACUUUUGACAUAUUGUUUAAAAUUAGUUGAAACUAUAUGUCGGUUGAUGACAGUCAUUUGACAUGUUGUUGAUGGUCAGUAGAUGGUUUGUUGACUGUCUGUAAAGUCUUACCAAAGUAACUACUAGUCUGCUUUCAAAUAUAAAUUACACAAAUUGCUACAGCCAGUUUGUUUUUUGUUAUGUUAAUAAAUUAGCCAGCUUGAUGCAAUUAUUUUAACUGGAUGCAGACAUUAACACUAUUUUUUUUUCCAACAGUGAAAGGAUUCUUGAUGUAAAACAUGACUCACUGCUGUUAAUGUUGUCCAUUCUAUCUUCUUAAGGACUCUUUGCCUCAAUUCUCUAUUAUAGAAAACCAGUUCAUUUUGUUGUCAUUAGAGGCAGUGAAAGCUUCAUCAAAUUUGAUUUCCAAAUUAUCCUUCAUAUUCUUUCUCAACUACACUUAAGAAAAUGGCUUGGAUUAUUUGAUAUCUUAAACACAGGGUACUGAGAAUGGUUAAGAUAAUAGAGAAUAGCUAUGACAUGAAUACUAUAUAUAAAUAUAUAAAAUAAUAGCACUUGGAAAUAUUUUUGUAUGGAUUAGACAGAUGGGUGAUGAAAUGACGGAACAACAAACAAGUGUCUUAGUAAGGUGUUGCGCCACCACAAUUCACCAGGACAGUCUUCAAAGUGUCAUCAUGGCAAUCUGUAUCUGGCACAGAUUCUUGAGCCAUCCCUCUAAGGAAAUAACAGGACCCUAAUUAUGACAGCAAAAUGUUCUACAUCAUAAAAGAGCCACCAGGUUUCUUUCAUUUGUUACUCUUCUUUAUAUCCACCACACACACACACAAAUAUGAUUUUUUUUUAUUUAUUUAUUUUUUGUCAUUAUCAGAGAGGUGAAUUUUGAAAGAUUUGCUUGAGAGUUCAAGUGCAUUUGAAAACAUGGCAUCCUGUUCCAUAGGUGAUGCACUAUAUGACCAUACUUUCAUAUCUAUAAUGAGAUUUCAAGUAAAGAUGAUCAAAAACAAUCUGAUAGUCUAAAAAUAUAUAUAUAUGUGUAGAGAAGAAAAAUAUAUUUGUGUGUGGUGGAAAUAUGCAUAUGCAGUAAAUUUCCACAUGCCUGUAUAUCGUAUUAUCAUGUGUUGUAGGGAGACAUAUUGUGUUGUUAUUAUGUUGCAAUUCUUUUCUUGGAAAUGAUAUGCUCUUAUCCUGUCAUUUAACAUAGCUGUUUAUGAAGAAUAAUGUGUUGUGGGAAUAUCACAUUGUGAGACCUGUACUGGGACACAAGUUCAUUGCACACCUAGUACUGAACAGAAAAAAAAAACAGACAUAAAAGUGGACUCUUUAGGUCUCUUACCAUACAGUUAUUUCAGACUACACUAAGAAAGUGGACUGAUCUCUCACAUCUGCAGACCAGAACUCAGCGGGUGAUUUAAACUCCCUCAUUCUGGGCUGGAACAUUACUUUAAUUCACUGAUGCAUGAAACAUUAAAAUGUAGAAGGCACUAAAAUGAAGGGUGAGGAAGUGUAGAAGAGAGAACGAGCUUUCGAGUGAAGUGGAUUUAUUAAGAGUGGCCCAUGCUAGUUUGCUGCCAUUAUUAGCUGAUUAGAUGUCAGAGGGAAGAAGAGACCUGGCAACCUCACAAGGCGAGAGGUGUGAGCCAUCUUACAUCCGCAUACAAAAUGGAGCUGGGAUAAUUAGCACGGCAUCACCAGACGAUUCUGACUCUGAUGAAGGGGGAAAAAAUAGAAUAGGAGAAAGUGCAGCUCUGAAAACAAACUUUGAGCUGACAUGAAAAAAGUUGGAUGCGAAAGUUGUUAACAUCACAAUCAGAGAAAAAUUAAAGCACACGAUUUUACAAUGAAUUGUAUGCGUAAGAGAAAUUUGGGCAGCAUGCAUUACUGUAUAAAUCUAAUAAAUAUCAUUUAGCACACCUAAAAAGAACAUAUACUAAAUGUUUGUAUGCAUACAGGCACUGGAAUAUGCCUGUAUUUCAAUCACCUUCUUCCUCAUCAUUUCUGGAAUUUCAUUCAGCUUUGGCAUAGUGUGUUACUGGGUAAGACCUUUUAACCAACUUCAUGCUGUUGAAAAAGUUGUAUUUAAGUGUUGAUUUGAUUUAACAGGGUUUGCAGUAAUCCAGCCUGGUUGCGUCUAAUCCAGUUGAACGCCAUUAUGAAUACAGUUUCAUAGAUUUGGGGAAUUAGUAACUACGGGUGCAAAUACAUUUUCACACAGGCCCAGUUGGUAUUGGAUAACUUUUUUUUGCUUCAAUAAAAAACAUUAUUAUUAAAAAAAUGUAUUUUGUGUUUACUCAGGUUGGCUUUGAUUUAUCUUAGAUUUUGUUUUACUUUCAGGAACAAUUUUGAAUGAGAUAUACACAGAAACAGAAGAAAUCAGAAGAAAUAUUUUACUUUUUCACAGCACUGUUGCUUGUAACCAUGAUUUCAAUGUACAGUAUAACCUCUUAUUAAAAACAUAUAAAGAAAUUCUGAAGGAAAAUAAGGCUUGGAAUGAAGUACCAGAGAGCACGGUGGCUUAGUGGUUAGGACGUUUGGCUCGCAUCUCCGAGGUAUGGGGAUUUGAUUCCCGCCUCCGCCCUGUGUGCACACAGAACACUGUGUGUUCUCCAAGUGCUUCGGGGGUUUCCUCCAGGAAAUCAGGUUUCCUCCCCGAGUCCAAAGAGGCUGAUUGACAUCUCUAAAUUGUCUGUAGUGUGAUUGUGUGUGUGUGAUUGAGCUUUGUGAUGGGUUGGCACCAAUCACAGCAGAAACACCUGAGUUUUCAGGUUUCCCCUGUAUCACCGUAGCAGGGAGUCAAUAAUUAUAAACGCUACCACUAAACCAUAGAUGUUUGCAGCUCUGCCUUCAUGACCGCUGACAUCCUGCAAAUCUACAUACAUAUUUAUAAGGCUGAUUUUCAAUAGUCUCCAGCUGUUAUAAAACUGCUUUCAUAAUUUCACGUGACAGUGAUUUACACUGAACCGACCCAUCAUGGCAUUUGACUAUAAGCCAGUAUGCAAUGUGUAAUAAUACAAACCCAUGUUAACAAAGCUGUCACUUUACUCAAGUGUUAUGUCAACUUUAUGAUCUCGGUCACCUAUGUGAAUAAGCAUUUAUAUAUGUUUAUGAAGUAUGUCAGGAAUGGCUGACAAAAUGCAUACAACAUACAUCUGAUCACAUCUUCAAGUAAAGUGUUACAAAAAUUGUGCAUUAUAACCUAAAAAAAUAAAAUAAAUAAUGAUUAAAAAAAUAAGUAUUAAAAAUAAAGUUUAAACUUUUUUUUUUUUGUAUAUCAAUGACAUUUCAGGACAAUGGAAUACAUUUCUCAUAAAUAUAUCUCACUGAUAUUUAGGAUUUAGGUAAUAUGAACUGGAAUGCCAUAUGGUUUUAUGUGUGUGUGUGUGUGUGUGUGUGUGUGUGUGUGUGUAAGUGUGUGAGCUGCUGGCGUGAAAAUUGCUCAAUCGUGUUUUAGCAUGGCGAGUGUUCUGCAAGGCAUGCAUCUCUUGGGCUUCCCUCCCGGAGGCUCACUUCCUGUUUGCACACUGAUUUAAACCUAUCAGGUCAAACUUCACUGCUUCCUUCCUGUCUGAAAGGAAGUCAGAAGGGCAUGCAGGUGUUUUAAUGUGUGUGUCUAUUUCUAUUUGCCCAUUAGGUAUUUUGAGGAUAAAUUACUUUACAGACAAUACAUAUUAAUUCUGCAUUGUAGUAAAGAUAAAAGCAAGAAACUUUUACAUUUACAUUUAUUCAUUUAGCAGACGCUUUUAUCCAAAGCUUUUAUACAAAUGAGGAAAACAAAAAACUUAAGAAAUUAUUUCUACCCGAGUGUAUUUGAGACAAAGACACGAUGUAUUUUUGUACUCUGUUCAUUUUAAAGAAAUGUCUUUUGAGCUUGUCUGUUGUUCCUAUAAAGCUGAGAAACAAAUGUCAAUUUAAUAAAGAAAUGAAAGUUCUAAUGUCCAAAAUUUUCAUCAUGAAUAAUAGUCUAGAUUAUAACUCUAACACCAUCAAUAAUAAUAAAAAAAGAUAUAGUUAAUUUACAAAUAAAUAUAUGUGGCAGGAAUACUGCAUUUUUUUUUCUUUUCUCUUUUUUAUUAUUAUUUUCUGUGAUAGAAUUAUAAUGCAGGCUGUUGUUCUGAACAACAAUAUCGCACAUUAGAAGUUUAUUUCUCCAUGAAUAAAGCUCAAGCUGCAUAUACUACCUUUAUUUAGAUUAUUUUUCAAAGAUCUUAAUGAUUAUUUAUAGCACAUGACACACCUUUAACUGUUUAGCACCACACAAACUUUUUAAUGUGCUUGAAAAUGGCAUUAAUUCCAAUGCAAAGGCUUCGAGACAUAUCCAUAAACUACAAAUCCUAAAGCUCAUAUGCCUUUUCACAUAGUGCACUACAGUAAAAUAGUGGCCAGCCCUCCCCUUCAGUUCUAAAUCUGCCCAAGAGAAUGGAGGCAAUUCUGCAGAGCAGUCCCUGUUGUUGCUAUUAUCUGCUUUAUUGAACAUAGCACCCCGUUUCCAGGGCCAUUUACAUAAACGAAGGAGUCUAUAUAUUAAAGAAGCACCAAAUGACUCAUGACUUGGGGGGGAUUGGAGGCCCCAUCCCUCUUUCCCCUCCUCCCGGCAGAUCCCCACACUCCACUCCAACUCUCCAACUCUGCAUUGCAAAGCCCCUUACAUUAAAUUGUGAUAGAUGAAGAACGGAGGCCAUUCAUACAAAUCAAUGACUUUAGUGUAUGUGUCAUUAGCUUGAGAGAUGCAGGCAGCGGUCAGUGCCAUAAAUCAAGCGAUGAUCGGCCUGUCUGCGAGGCAGCACGGCUCUCCGCACAGCCGCAUGCAUUAGUACACUGGAGAGAAGAGCAGAAAAGAAUCAGAGCAAGUGGCUCUUUUGCUUAUUAGUGCCAUUCUAGGUUAGUGUGUUAGCUUACGCCCUUUGAAAUGCUUUGUUUUCUUUGUUUAUUUAUGGCCCAGAUGUGGAGCAACACGACUGUCCCUAAAGAUCACCCGACCGUUGGAUUAAUGGCUCACAACUCUGGCUACUUUGAUGCCAAUACUGAUGGCAGAGACCCAGUGACCUAAAACUCCAGAGAGAUGUGAAUCAAUAGCUCACCCUUUCACCCAGCAUGGCAAAAAGGCACAACAGCGAAAAAUAAUUUCCUCCAUCUUCGAGUGAGAGAGAUUUAAUAUGAGCUCUGGACCUAUUUAUGUUUUCUGUUAUGAGCAGGGAAGAAUGUGAGCAAACUCAUACUAAUCACAUUGAAUAAUUUGUCAAACUAAUUUCUAAACUUAUUCUUAAUUCUAAGAAUCACCAAAAUAAUGUUAGAUACAUGAUACAACAUUUAUAAUAUUUACAAUAUUCAUUGUGAUUAUAAUUAUUAAACUUAUAGUUAUAAUUAAUAUAAGCUCUAUUGACCCAGGGCCAUUUAAUGAACAUGGCAACAACAUGAUCAGGUGACUGUGAAGGUCAUAAUGUGACCUUCAUGUCAUUUUAUUACUUUUCUUACUCUGUCUCU
Long non-coding RNA from Ictalurus punctatus (channel catfish), 9830 nucleotides. The record is from Ensembl. NCBI's taxonomy places the organism in Eukaryota, Metazoa, Chordata, Actinopteri, Siluriformes, Ictaluridae.